RNAcentral lists this ribosomal RNA (491 nucleotides) under uncultured bacterium. RNAcentral describes it as "partial 16S ribosomal RNA". It matches the Rfam family "Bacterial small subunit ribosomal RNA", at positions 29 to 506 of the family's 1533-position model. The record is from RNAcentral.
AGUGAACGCUGGCGGUAGGCCUAACACAUGCAAGUCGAACGGCAGCACUGUAAGAGCUUGCUCUUACGGGUGGCGAGUGGCGGACGGGUGAGGAAUACAUCGGAAUCUACUUUUUCGUGGGGGAUAACGUAGGGAAACUUACGCUAAUACCGCAUACGACCUACGGGUGAAAGCAGGGGAUCUUCGGACCUUGCGCGAUUGAAUGAGCCGAUGUCGGAUUAGCUAGUUGGCGGGGUAAAGGCCCACCAAGGCGACGAUCCGUAGCUGGUCUGAGAGGAUGGUCAGCCACACUGGAGCUGAGACACGGUCCAGAGUCCUACGGGAGGCAGCAGUGGGGAAGAUUGGACAAUGGGCGCAAGCCUGAUCCAGCCAUACCGCGUGGGUGAAGAAGGCCUUCGGGUUGUAAAGCCCUUUUGUGGGGAAAGAAAAGCAGCAGGUUAAUACCCCGCUGUUCUGACGGUACCCAAAGAAUAAGCACCGGCUAACUUCGU